AACGCACAUUGCGCCCACUAGUAUUCUGGCGGGCAUGCCUGUUCGAGCGUCCUUUGGACCCUCGGGCCCCCUGUGAAUUUCCGCAGCGGGGCCCGGUGUUGGGGCUGCGCGGCUGCCGCGCUCCCCUAAAUCCAGUGGCGGACCCCUCCGUGGCCCUGGCGUAGUAACUUUUCUCGCCUUCGGACGCGGCGCGGGCCUUGCCCACAGCACCAACUAAACAAAGUUGGACCUCGAAUCAGGUAGGAAUACCCGCUGAACUUAA
RNAcentral lists this unclassified non-coding RNA (262 nucleotides) under uncultured Hypocreales. RNAcentral describes it as "sequence contains 5.8S rRNA gene, ITS2, 28S rRNA gene". The record is from RNAcentral. Lineage: Eukaryota; Fungi; Ascomycota; Sordariomycetes; Hypocreales.